UACAGAGGGUGCGAGCGUUAAUCGGAAUUACUGGGCGUAAAGCGUGCGCAGGCGGUUCGUUAAGUUCGAUGUGAAAGCCCCGGGCUCAACCUGGGAACUGCAUUGGAAACUGGCGAGCUUGAAUGCGGCAGAGGGGGGUGGAAUUCCGCGUGUAGCAGUGAAAUGCGUAGAGAUGCGGAGGAACACCGAUGGCGAAGGCAGCCCCCUGGGCCGACAUUGACGCUCAGGCACGAAAGCGUGGGGAGCAAACAGG
This 253-nucleotide ribosomal RNA is filed under the name uncultured bacterium. Its description in RNAcentral is "partial 16S ribosomal RNA". It matches the Rfam family "Bacterial small subunit ribosomal RNA", at positions 524 to 776 of the family's 1533-position model. The record is from RNAcentral.